UGGGCUCUCUCCCUCGGUCGCAAAUCGCUUUAAUCUUCAACCUCCAGCUCUCUCUCUCCCUCUCUCUUGCAACAGUUGACCAAUUUUUUCAAAACCCAAGCAGAGGAAGUUGCUUGGGACUUCGAGGAAAACAUUGAAGAUCGACAUUGUGAACUUGCUGGAAGGCUUUAAUUUGACUCUGGAAGAUGUUAAAGUUCAGUACAAUGGGCCUUUUGUGUUGUCUAGGUUGUAAGUUCCAAUUGAGUUUUAAUUUGUCCAGUUAUUAGUAAUGCAUGUAGAUGCAAUAAGUCUUGUGAAGAGCAUAAUUUGUUGACUGUUAGAGGCUUUAGGGAUGGCUCGAAUACUUUAGUUCAUUUUAGUUUAUUACAAAAAUAGUAUAUAUAUGAAUGUAAUUGUUUGUUUGAUCGUUGGGUAUGAAUGUUGUUGUUGUCAUUAGUUGAUUCUCAUCUUUUCUGCAUUUGAGAAAUUGAUGAGUUUAAACUAAGCUAUAUCUAUUAGUUGACUGUCAUCUUUUCUUAAGUAUUGAAAAAGGAAAUUUGUGUGUGUGCUUGUAUAUUAUUGUUAUUAAGCAGCGGUGACCCUUAUUAGCUUGUGUGUGCGCAUUUGUAUAUUAUUGUAUAUUAUUGUCCAUUCUAAUAUCCCACUUCCAUUCUUUUGAUGCAUGAAGAGGGUAAGGUGCAGAUUGGGUUUUCUGUAGGCUUCUCCAUAACAUAUUAGUCGGACAGUAAUGAACUUUAACAUGUGGUAUCUAACUGAAAUUAUAGUGGUGUACAUAAAGACAAGAUAUAUUUUUAAGUUAGGAGAAUGCCUUUUCUCCGGUGUGGGAAUGUUUUAUUCUUAAGAUUGAAUUUAUUGUAAUAGAAUACUUGCAUUGAAAGUUCUCCUAAUAGUAUGUUUAUGUAUUAACAAAUGUGUAGGAUACAAAUAGAAAAGCUUAUGUCUGUGUAGUGAGGCAGUAUUCCGGUGCUGAAAACAGAAAGGUUCACCAAGUUGUUGAUCCAAAAAGUCAUGGAAAUGUAUUAACUUCUCGAAGAAAGAUAAGUUUGAAUCCUUAGCUCCUUCUUGAAGAAAGAACAAUUAGUUGGAAUUCUGCAGAAACUGCCCUGCAGCACAACUCUUUUUGUGAAAGGUUGGACUAUUGGGAGUGGUGAUUAGCUACGCUGUGACCUAAGCAAAUUAAGGUAAGCAGUAAUCUUCGGGUGUGUUUUAUGUGAAUAGCAUAGUUAGUUUGUUAAAUUAGCUGAUUGGUAUGUUGAUGAAUUUAGUUGGUUGUUUGUAUCUGUUUAUAUGCAUGUGUGCUCAUUGGAUGUUGACAGUUGUGAACGCAAAUGA
This 1332-nucleotide long non-coding RNA is filed under the name Rosa chinensis. Its description in RNAcentral is "sRNA RchiOBHm_Chr2g0097271". Lineage: Eukaryota; Viridiplantae; Streptophyta; Magnoliopsida; Rosales; Rosaceae. The record is from RNAcentral.